CGACCGGCGCACGGGUGAGUAACACGUAUGCAACCUGGCCGUGACAGAUGGAUAACCGGGAGAAAUCCCGCCUAAUACAGCAUGACGCCGCGGGAGGACAUCCUCCCGCGGCCAAAGGGGCGACCCGGUCACGGAUGGGCAUGCGGCGCAUUAGGUAGUUGGUGGGGCAACGGCCCACCAAGCCGACGAUGCGUAGGGGUUCUGAGAGGAAGGUCCCCCACAUUGGAACUGAGACACGGUCCAAACUCCUACGGAAGGCAGCAG
Molecule: ribosomal RNA, 264 nt
Filed under: uncultured bacterium
Lineage: Bacteria
Description: partial 16S ribosomal RNA
Rfam family: Bacterial small subunit ribosomal RNA
Source: RNAcentral